GUAGUUCAAUGGUAGAACAUCAGCCUUCCAAGCUGAAUACGUGGGUUCGAUUCCCAUC
This 58-nucleotide transfer RNA is filed under the name Lachnospiraceae bacterium. RNAcentral's name for it is "tRNA-Gly". It matches the Rfam family "tRNA", at positions 7 to 64 of the family's 71-position model. From Rfam's summary of the family: Transfer RNA (tRNA) molecules are approximately 80 nucleotides in length. Their secondary structure includes four short double-helical elements and three loops (D, anti-codon, and T loops). Further hydrogen bonds mediate the characteristic L-shaped molecular structure. tRNAs have two regions of fundamental functional importance: the anti-codon, which is responsible for specific mRNA codon recognition, and the 3' end, to which the tRNAs corresponding amino acid is attached (by aminoacyl-tRNA synthetases). tRNAs cope with the degeneracy of the genetic code in two manners: having more than one tRNA (with a specific anti-codon) for a particular amino acid; and 'wobble' base-pairing, i.e. permitting non-standard base-pairing at the 3rd anti-codon position. Lineage: Bacteria; Bacillati; Bacillota; Clostridia; Lachnospirales; Lachnospiraceae. The record is from RNAcentral.